Molecule: ribosomal RNA, 767 nt
Filed under: uncultured Campylobacterota bacterium
Lineage: Bacteria; Pseudomonadati; Campylobacterota
Description: bacterial SSU rRNA
Rfam family: Bacterial small subunit ribosomal RNA
Source: RNAcentral
CGUAAAGCGCGCGCAGGCGGCUAUUUAAGUUGGAUGUGAAAGCCUACGGCUCAACCGUAGAACUGCAUCCAAAACUAUUUAGCUAGAGUGUGGGAGAGGAAGAUGGAAUUAGUUGUGUAGGGGUAAAAUCCGUAGAGAUAACUAGGAAUACCAAAAGCGAAGGCAAUCUUCUGGAACACUACUGACGCUGAGGCGCGAAGGCGUGGGGAGCAAACAGGAUUAGAUACCCUGGUAGUCCACGCAGUAAACGAUGAAUGUUAGUCGUCGGGUAGCUAGUCUAUUCGGUGAUGCAGCUAGCGCAUUAAACAUUCCGCCUGGGGAGUACGGUCGCAAGAUUAAAACUCAAAGGAAUAGACGGGGACCCGCACAAGUGGUGGAGCAUGUGGUUUAAUUCGAAGAUACGCGAAGAACCUUACCUAGCCUUGACAUAUUUUAGAAUCUUUCAGAGAUGAGAGAGUGCCUUCGGGAGCUAAUAUACAGGUGCUGCACGGCUGUCGUCAGCUCGUGUCGUGAGAUGUUGGGUUAAGUCCCGCAACGAGCGCAGCCCUCGUCACUAGUUACUAACGGUUCGGCCGAGGACUCUAGUGAGACUGCCUUCGUAAGGAGGAGGAAGGUGAGGACGACGUCAAGUCAUCAUGGCCCUUACGGCUAGGGCAACACACGUGCUACAAUGGCCAGGACAAUGAGACGCGAUACCGCGAGGUGGAGCAAAUCUAUAAACCUGGUCUCAGUUCGGAUUGUAGUCUGCAACUCGACUACAUGAAGCU